Molecule: microRNA, 20 nt
Filed under: Corchorus capsularis
Lineage: Eukaryota; Viridiplantae; Streptophyta; Magnoliopsida; Malvales; Malvaceae
Description: sRNA CCACVL1_14186
Source: RNAcentral
UUUUCUUCUUCUCCUUCUGA